UGUGCAGAUAUGCUUUAACCCAGCAGAUUACUUCUGUGAGUUUGAUGGUGAGUUAUGAGAUCUUUGUGGUAAGCCCACAACACAAGAGGAUUCUUUGAUAAACAAUGAGGAAGAGAAAUCCCUUCUGCUUUAAACAGCUUUCUAGUAUUCUGCAGUUGUGUUUAGGAACCACAACCUCAUUCUGAAGUAUGGAUGGACAGCAUGGUCUCUUCAUUGAGGUGACGCAGCAUGACAACGUCUUCCUGCUCUGAAACCUUUGGCAGUGACUGCAGCCACAAAUGUGCAGGUGACAGCAGCAUGGGCCGGAGCGACCAGCUGGCACUGUCAAGAAGAGCAAUAGUGUCAGCUUGAGCCCCUUGGAGAGGAGCCAUCCUGGACAAAGCCACCAGCUCUAAACCGCCUCUCGGGGGGUCCUCAGGAUUGCCACCCAUGUCAGCCUUCCCGCGCAGACAUCCACAUUAAAUAUGAAAGCCUUGCAACACAGAGGAAAUACUUUAUUUCAUUUCAAAAAACAUUCAGAAUGUUGAGUCAGUUCAGGGUUGACAUUGGUAACUGUGUGACUUUGCAUGCCUCCAGGAUUUGUAAAAUUGCCAAACUAGAUUUUGGGAAACCAGUGGGACUACACUACCAGGAGGGAAAUUAACAGAGAGAAGACUGAUUACCACAGACUCUGCUAAGAGAUGGUUGUAACAGGCCAAGGUGCGUUCCCUGCCUGCCCUCAGGCUACGCUGCCUGCUGAAAUCUGUGAAAAAUUUGUAACCUGGGCUGUUCCUGUGCUAAUCUAGCCUCCCUGCCUUGGGAAAUAACUACGCAAAUCACAACUGGGUUUGUCCCAAAGCCCUACCAGAAGUAAGUCAAAGACAAGGCUCCAAUCAUGCCACCUACAGAAGUUUCUUCUGCAUGUAGCCAGGAGCUCAUGGCUAGCUGCAAAGAAGACUCCACAGAAAGAGCAUUUCACUGAGCAGAGCACAUCUUUCCCACUUUGUCAGUGUUAUCUUUUUCUUUUGCCCAGUUCCAUGUUUGAUACGAAAGUUUCUGUGUUAAAAUGCAUCCCCGUUUGACAUCUUUUAAACUUACCUUAAGGUUUAUAUGGAACCUUUGACUACUGAAGCAUAAUAAUCUCCAUUAAUAAACCCUACAGAGGUAAGCUGAAAAAUCAACCUCCCAGGCAAAGAGAUGUGGAACUGCAUAGGAAAUGUUGGAUGCAUACACCACCUACUUUGUAAUGCAGCUCCUAAUCACUGCUAACGGCUCUUGAGUCUGUCAUUUCCUUCCACAGUGUAAAAUCAGCACACUUAAAAAUACCUUUACAACAGGGUUCUCUCUCUGCUCCUGCUUAAUAUUGCUCAUAAAUCAAAAAUACUGAAGAUGAAAUCAUUGGCUUCAUGUCACACUAAACAUUCAAAAUCAUUAUCCCAAAAUCCUUUGGGGAAGCAGACAAGAUGCUCCCAGUUCAGCUCCCUGUAGAUUGUAGGUCAGUAGCACAAAGACAUAGCAUAUAAUUGGUCUCAAGUGGUAGCCUGAGCUCGUAAGAGGCCAAGGACAAAUUAGUCCGAAUCACCUCCUACUUUAAAAAGAGACAUUUCAACAUGGGCACAGUUCAGAUUUGCAGCUGCCUGACCUACGGAAAAUAUGAGGCUUUAAUGCAUCCAGAAAUUGAACAGUGAACAAUUUGGGUGUCUGAAUAUGACAGGAAACAUCAGCCUUUUGAUCCAGGGCACUUCUGUGAGCAUUUUGGCUUCAGGAUGAAUUCCGAAUUCUUAAGUUUAUAUUGAAGAGUACAAAACUCAACUUUAAACUCUAGAUUAUAAAGGGAAAUGAAGACCGAAAUGAAAGCAGCAUGCAAAUGCUAACUGUGAAAUGUUUCCAGUAAAUACCAGAUAUUGCUUUUUAAUGUUAUAUGACAUUUUACAGAUGCAGAAAACAAUCAGACAUCUAUUGUCAGCCAAUUAGUACAUUAAAAUAAAUGCAAAUGCAAAAAAUCACUGA
Molecule: non-coding RNA, 1989 nt
Organism: Phalacrocorax carbo (great cormorant)
Lineage: Eukaryota; Metazoa; Chordata; Aves; Suliformes; Phalacrocoracidae
Source: RefSeq, a predicted model, not a curated record